This 616-nucleotide unclassified non-coding RNA is filed under the name Pithoascus sp. IHEM 27982. Its description in RNAcentral is "sequence contains 18S rRNA gene, ITS1, 5.8S rRNA gene, ITS2, 28S rRNA gene". The stretch from base 223 to 376 matches the Rfam family "5.8S ribosomal RNA". The record is from RNAcentral. Lineage: Eukaryota; Fungi; Ascomycota; Sordariomycetes; Microascales; Microascaceae.
AGUCGUAACAAGGUCUCCGUUGGUGAACCAGCGGAGGGAUCAUUACCGAAGUUACCCUUCAAACCCAUUUGUGAACAUUACCCCUUGCCGCGUUGCCUCGGCGGGAGGUCUGGGGCGGGUCCGGGGAAACCCGCGCCCCGCCCCCGGCCCCCGCCGGCCGCGCCAAACUCUUCAUUUGCAAAGCGGACUGCAUGCUCUGAUUAGAUUUUUAAAACAAGUCAAAACUUUUAACAACGGAUCUCUUGGUUCUGGCAUCGAUGAAGAACGCAGCGAAAUGCGAUAAGUAAUGUGAAUUGCAGAAUUCAGUGAAUCAUCGAAUCUUUGAACGCACAUUGCGCCCGGCAGCAAUCUGCCGGGCAUGCCUGUCCGAGCGUCAUUUCUCCCCUCGAGCGCGGUUGCCCCUAGGGGCGGCUGUUGCUCGGUGUUGGGGCUCUGCGGGCCUCGCCCGCAGUCCCCGAAAUGAAGUGGCGGUCCCGCCGCGGCGCCCCCUGCGUAGUAAUAUCUGCCUCGCAUCGGGUCCCGGCGACGACCAGCCGUCGAACCUUUCUUUUGAUGGUUUGACCUCGGAUCAGGUAGGGUUACCCGCUGAACUUAAGCAUAUCAAUAAGCGGAGGAA